UCUUGGUAUGGAGAAAGGGAGAAGAGAGAGGCCACAGACCGGUGUGCUGAUGAGCCCCCAUCAUAGGGUACUACAACCAUUUUGGUUAGCUGCAAGGAUGAAGACAAUGGGGAAAGAAUGCAAAGAUAUUCAGUGAAGCCGCAGAUUUAGCUUUUGGAGAACUAUGGACAAGCCAUGUACAAGUACAUAGGCUGCUGCGUAUACAGAAAGAACGAAUGAAACGGGCUUGCAGAUUCAGUUUUCAUUUGCACGUCAUCAAAGCUAAUGCUUCCUGUUAAAACAACGCCCCCUGCAACAAGUCCAUUUCGAGGCCGGCCACAGGCACGACAUCGAGGGCAUCCAUAACAAUCGCGGAUCCUUCGACAUCUGGGUGGACCGCUGCUCCGUCGUCGACUACGACGACGGGCUCAUCGACAUCGCUUGUCUCCAGGUCGUUCCCUUCUCUGUUAUUUGUCCCUGCUACUAAGUCACUCACAUGCUUGGUUUCUCUCAACAAGUAUCGUUGAUUACAUGGGAUCACUGUGUUGUGCUGAUGAAAAUAAACGUGUGUGUAUGUGAUUGCAUUUUUUGCAUGAUUGAUAUAUGAUGAUUGCUCACAAUGUACAGUGGGUAUGCAUGUAUUCUCCACAAACUUAGAAUUGGCACUCUCUUUAGACCAGCUCUUCAUUCUUGUAUUUAAGUUGGUACUAAAUCUGGAAGAGGUUUAUUGUAGGUUGAUGUCUUUUACAUCUCAUAUUUUUCAUCCAUGUAAUACGAACAAAUGCACAAGAUAUAGAUGAGAAUCUGUUCAUGAGCUUCACCAGCCAUUUUACAGGAUAUACAAUGUUGUUUUCUUAUGCAUUUUAAUUACAUUUACAACUGUAAGUUUGUGAUGAUACAAACGAAAGUUGCAUACAGAUUUUCUUAUUUAUACUAUUGUUCUAUCCAUGCUUAACAUAUAAAAAAUUCUUGUUUUGUUCAUACUACUUAACAGUCAGCAGUUUAGUCAUCUUACAAAUACCAAUUAUGUUCCCUUUCUCACUGUAUACCAGAUAGAUCAACACCUAGUCUGUUGUUAUUUUUCUCCUGCCACUUUUGAAAUUUCUACUUUAUCUUUUUUAGAUUACCAUUUUUUCAUUCGUUUGUUCUUUGUUCAUACACUAGGCUGUACAUACUCAAAUCAUCGACUGGACACCAGAAAUAUUGACUUCUCUUUAUUCUUUCAUCAGCCAUUUUACUUGAGCAUUAAUAAAUUUGGGUCCUCAAGACCUGUAGUCAAUAAAUGUACUUUGCUAUCACCAUUAAUAUCCAUAGAACAUGCUCUUAUCUUUCAUAUCACAGAACAACUUAUGUCCAUGUAAAUAACUUGCUUUUUUCUACCAGUAUUUUCAGUUUAACUAUACUGAAGAGAAUCUGCUGGACUAAAUUGAUCCAAACAAUGCUACACUCAUUGUCAGACUUGCAGACGACCAUCUGCUCGCCAAAUGUCGAAUCAUGCUAGGAACUGACAAGAGGGCCACUAUAACCACGAACUGGUCUGAGUUUUUUCACCGCGCCAACAUUCGCAAAUGAGACAUCUAUGCAUUUCAUUUCAGGAUCACUUCAAAGCUCUGCCUUGUUGUCACCGUGCACCACCUCUAGAUGCACCAUCGAAGACGCUGCAGCCCUUGUGUCAAUAUAAUCUAGUCCCUCCGUCUCAUAAUGUAAGACGUUUUUUGACACCAUUUGUGUCAGAAAACGUCUUACAUUAUGGAACAGAGGGAGUAAUAUAAUGUACCACUAAGUACUCCUAAUUAUGCUAUAUCCUGUGAUAACUUAUGGUUUGCUUUUGGGCCCUCUUAUCACAUGCUUUUCAAGACGCUAAACCUAUGUUGUUGCUUAUGUUAAGUGCACUAUUGUCAGUUAGAUGUUUCAUGUUCAGAUCCAUAAUAGGCUUUCUCUA
This is a long non-coding RNA of Triticum aestivum (bread wheat), 1921 nucleotides long. RefSeq lists it as uncharacterized. The record is from RefSeq and is a predicted model, not a curated record. Lineage: Eukaryota; Viridiplantae; Streptophyta; Magnoliopsida; Poales; Poaceae. The transcript has 4 exons.